RNAcentral lists this unclassified non-coding RNA (400 nucleotides) under uncultured fungus. Its description in RNAcentral is "sequence contains ITS1". The stretch from base 1 to 106 matches the Rfam family "5.8S ribosomal RNA", at positions 50 to 154 of the family's 154-position model. Lineage: Eukaryota; Fungi. The record is from RNAcentral.
GAAAUGCGAUACGUAAUGCGAAUUGCAGAAUUCAGUGAAUCAUCAAAUCUUUGAACGCAAAUUGCGCUUUCUGGAUAGGCCAGGGAGCAUGCCUCUUUGAGCAUCGUUUUCACCUCUGCUCGACUGCGCUCUUUCGAGAGCCGCGUGUCGGAAAAUGAGUUUUGUCUCAUUCGUUAAUGAAUGAGUCACUUGAAAUGCGGUGAGUUUUCUAUCAACCACUCAGCGGUCGUUUGAUUGCUUUCGGUGGUGCUAUGGAUAAAUUUUAUUCAAUGGCGCCAUUUCGAUUUAAUUGAACGCUAUGACUGCCGAGUCACCGAUAGACUCAGUGGAAAUUAAACGGGAAAAUGAUAAAAAGUUUUCCUAUUUUGAAUGAGAUCUCAAAUGAAGCAAGAGUACCCGC